This 305-nucleotide ribosomal RNA is filed under the name uncultured bacterium. RNAcentral describes it as "bacterial SSU rRNA". It matches the Rfam family "Bacterial small subunit ribosomal RNA", at positions 335 to 656 of the family's 1533-position model. The record is from RNAcentral.
GAUCCUACGGGACGCAGCAGUGGGGGAUAUUGCACAAUGGGGGGGACCCUGAUGCAGCGACGCCGCGUGGGUGAAGAAGUAUUUCGGUACGUAAAGCCCUAUCGGCAGGGAAGAAAUUGGACGGUACCUGACUAAGAAGCCCCGGCUAACUACGUGCCAGCAGCCGCGGUAAUACGUAGGGGGCAAGCGUUAUCCGGAUCCACUGGGUGUAAAGGGAGCGUAGACAGCCAUGCAAGCCUGGAGUGAAAGCCCGGGGCCCAACCCCGGGACUGCUCUGGGAACUGUGCGGCUGGAGUGCGGGCAGG